RNAcentral lists this ribosomal RNA (1072 nucleotides) under Halomonas sp. Its description in RNAcentral is "bacterial SSU rRNA". It matches the Rfam family "Bacterial small subunit ribosomal RNA", at positions 54 to 1122 of the family's 1533-position model. The record is from RNAcentral. Lineage: Bacteria; Pseudomonadati; Pseudomonadota; Gammaproteobacteria; Oceanospirillales; Halomonadaceae.
CAUGCAGUCGAGCGGUAGCACAGAGAAGCUUGCUUCUUGGGUGACGAGCGGGGGACGGGUGAGUAAUGCAUAGGAAUCUGCCCGAUAGUGGGGGAUAACCUGGGGAAACCCAGGCUAAUACCGCAUACGUCCUACGGGAGAGAGGGGGCUUUGGCUCCCGCUAUUGGAUGAGCCUAUGUCGGAUUAGCUAGUUGGUGAGGUAAUGGCUCACCAAGGCGACGAUCCGUAGCUGGUCUGAGAGGAUGAUCAGCCACAUCGGGACUGAGACACGGCCCGAACUCCUACGGGAGGCAGCAGUGGGGAAUAUUGGACAAUGGGGGCAACCCUGAUCCAGCCAUGCCGCGUGUGUGAAGAAGGCCUUAGGGUUGUAAAGCACUUUCAGCGAGGAAGAACGCCUAGUGGUUAAUACCCAUUAGGAAAGACAUCACUCGCAGAAGAAGCACCGGCUAACUCCGUGCCAGCAGCCGCGGUAAUACGGAGGGUGCAAGCGUUAAUCGGAAUUACUGGGCGUAAAGCGCGCGUAGGUGGCUUUAUAAGCCGGUUGUGAAAGCCCCGGGCUCAACCUGGGAACGGCAUCCGGAACUGUGAGGCUAGAGUACAGGAGAGGAAGGUAGAAUUCCCGGUGUAGCGGUGAAAUGCGUAGAGAUCGGGAGGAAUACCAGUGGCGAAGGCGGCCUUCUGGACUGAUACUGACACUGAGGUGCGAAAGCGUGGGUAGCAAACAGGAUUAGAUACCCUGGUAGUCCACGCCGUAAACGAUGUCGACCAGCCGUUGGGUGCCUAGAGCACUUUGUGGCGAAGUUAACGCGAUAAGUCGACCGCCUGGGGGAGUACGGCCGCAAGUUAAAACUCAAAUGAAUUGACGGGGGCCCGCACAAGCGGUGAGCAUUGUGGUUUAAUUCGAUGCACCGCGAAGAACUUUACCUACCCUUUGACAUCUAUAGAAUAUUGCAGAGAUGCGAUUGUGCUUCGGGAACUAUUAACCAGGUGCUGCAUGGGCUGUCGUCAGCUCGUGUUGUGAAAUGUUGGGUUAAGUCCCGUAACGAGCGCAACCCUUGUCUUAUUUGCCAGC